This 17413-nucleotide long non-coding RNA is filed under the name Sorghum bicolor (sorghum). Its description in RNAcentral is "long non-coding RNA (SBIC_LNC007678)". Lineage: Eukaryota; Viridiplantae; Streptophyta; Magnoliopsida; Poales; Poaceae. The record is from RNAcentral.
AAUAAGAAUUUUAGGACAUAGUUUACAUUCUUAGGAACACAAUAGCAUAAGACAUCAUUUGAAACAUGCACCAUAUUGCUUAAGAUAAGCCACAGAGCUUGAAGUGAGAUCACAAACAGGAUAUAGUGCUAACCUCAAGAGAAUUUUAAUACCUAAAUCUUAUAAUGAUUGACUGAUUGACUUUUUACUCUAAACUAUUCUUAAAAGGUUAGGAAAAUAUAGCCACUAGUGGUCUACCACACUUCUCGAGAUGAUUGAGUUUUCCUAUCAAGGAAUUAUGUUUACAAAUAUGGUUAUAGUAGACAUGUCAAACAUUUUAGUUAAAGUACGUAAAUAUAUCUAAAGUAACAAUCUAUAUCAAUUAUAUGUUAUGGUUACUAAUAUGGCUUGAAAUUUUUUUAUAUUGAUAAGGAAAUAACUUUUUUUGUGAUUAAACAUAACAUAUUUAUUCUAUUGCUCAUGCAUGAUGGCAUUACGUGUAUAUUUACUUUAAUCAAAUCUUACUAUACGUAUUUUAUGAGAAUUUCUAGGAUCUAUCUUUUGUUUUCCUGUCAAGUCUUGUGACGAUUAACAUGCAAGCUAUAGAAGAAACGUCUUGUUAGAAUUUAUAGUAUUUAUCUUUUUUUUUUCUAGUGUGAUUUGUAUUUAGUUGAAAACUAAACUUAAGAUAUAUGAACUCUUGAUACAACUCUUUUUUGACAUUGCAAAUCUACAUUUAUCUUUUAACUUUUAAUUAAAUUGUUGCAAUUUCUUCAAAUGUUAAUUAGAAAUUCUGGUAUUCUUUAUAUUUUAUUCAAAAAACAUUUUUUAUUAUAACGAGUAUAGGUUUCCACAUAUGCUAAAAUUUGGCUUGCAUUGUGACACUAAACAUGUUCAAUUUAUUAUGUCAUACGAUUAUAUGUGUUGUAUUAUUUAUAUAUCAUAGAGUGAAUAUUGAUAUGACAUAAUGUUUCAGUAAAAACAUAUAUACUUGUUUAAAAUGAUAAUUAUUGAAUUUAUUAUCACGAAGUAUAGAUAUAAAGUGUUAUUGCAACAUCGUUUGCUAUGUGAACAUUUUCCAUGUUUCAUAACUUUUAAAAUAAAUGUUAUCCAAAUUUAUACAUGUUUAUUUGAUAUACAUGGUGCAACAUUGCAUUUAGUUAUUUUAUUUCACGAUUAUUGAAUUAUGAAACUUAGAAAUAUAUACAUGUACCAUACUUUUUGUUAAUAUUGAUAUUUUUAAUAUUAUAUAUUACUAUUUACACGUCAAUUUUAGAUAUGUUUUGUUUAUCUUCAAUUAUGGCUAAGGUACAUACAAAUAUAAAGUUAAUGCCUUGCAUUAUAUUUCACAAAGACAUAAAUGGAUAGGUUCAACACGAACAUAUAAUAUUAAUUUGCAUUAUUUUUCAUAAUGAUAAAGGUGGAGAAUUUAUAAUUAGGAGGCAUUUUAAAUUAUGUUCCAUAAGCGUAUAUUGGGUAGUUUAGGUACAAAGUUAGAAUAUUAUUUUGUAUUAUCUUUCACAAUGACAAAAGCAAGGUAAUUUAGACACAAUUUUAGGGGUUUAUUUAAAUUAUGUUUCAUAAUCGCCAAGGUGGGUAAUUUGGAUGAAAAAUCAGGGAGUGAUUUUGAAUUAUUUUUUAUGAUGACAUACAUGGGUAAUUUAUAUACAAAUAUAGAGGGUUAUUUUGAAUUAUCUUUUGUAAUGUCACAAUUGGGUAAAUUAAAUGCAAAAUUAGGGGUUACUUUAUUGUAUUUUCAUAAUGGCAGUAGUGGGUAAUGUUUUAUAAACUAUAAUAGAUGCAAUGGCUAUUAUCACUGACGAUAUUAGAGUUUAUCAAAUGAAAGGCUAGUUGUUUUUGAUUAUUGUCAUAAUUUGGAGGAUUUUGUUGUGUCUCUGUUGGGGUCUCUAAUUAGAAUUUAUAGGAUUUAUCUUUUUUUCUAGUGUCUGGUGAGAAUUAACGUGGUAUCUCUGUUGGGGCUUGUAAUAAUAAGAUUGGUCACAGCAGGCAGUGAAUCAUUCAGGCGGGUUCAGAGUUUAUUAGCUGAGAAUAUGUCGUGCAGAAUAAUAGUGCUGAUUUUGCUUCAGAUUAGGAAUCUCCGUACUUCUAUAGGUCAUAGGAGCAACGAAGGGGAAAUUCGUCAUGAACAUAGCUAUACUUUCUUACUUUUGUAUCCCAAGAAACACUCGUGCUUUUUUCUUUCCUUUUACUUAGGCCUUAUUUAGUUCACUUCAAAAACCAUAAAAUUUUCAAGAUUUCCCAUCACAUCGAAUAUUGCGGGACGUGCAUAGAGCAUUAAAUAUAAAUGGAAACAAAAACUAAUUGUACAGUUUGCCUUUAAAUUGCGAGACGAAUCUUUUAAUCUUAGUUACUCCAUGAUUGGACAAUGUUUGUCAAAUAAAAACGAAAUUGCUACAGUAUCAAAAUCUAAAAACUUUUUGAAUCUAAACAAUGCCUUAGUUGCAUAUGCAUAAAGUAUAAUAUAAAAAAGGAUGAUAAAAAAUUGUGUGCUAGAGGUCGCAUACGUUUCUUCUUGAUGUGCUUUGCAUUUGUAGCAUAUCACAACACUGCACGGUAAAUUAUUUUUUGUCUAAUUGGCCUGAAAUUCUUGCAGGCUGUCAGAGAUGUGAAUGAUGAGCCGCAGGUUGAAAAUUUAAAGGAUAUUGGCUUGAUACUUGUAAAAAAAUGUGAUGGUUUACCUCUUGGGAUCAAAGUAAUGGGAGGUCUCCUGAGUCGGAAAAGGAUAACACGAACCGACUGGCAAAAGGUCUUAGAUGAUUCUCUAUGGUCAGUAUCACAAAUGCCUCAAGAGCUAAAUUAUGCAGUAUAUCUUAGCUAUGAAGAUCUAGACCCUUGUUUGAAGCCUUGCUUUUUGCACUACUCCCUCCUUCCAAGGGGCAGAUUGUUUUAUGAUUAUGACAUUGUUGCCAUGUGGAUUAGUGAAGGAUUUGUUCAUGGAAUUUCACGUGACUUAGAAGACAUAGGAAGGGAAUACUAUGACGAGUUAAUACAGCGGAACCUUAUUGAGCCAGAUAUGAAGUUUAUUGAUCAAAGUGUUUGCAACAUGCAUGAUGUUGUCCGGUCCUUUGCUCAGAACAUGUUCCGAGACGAAGCACUCAUAACUCACAAUAGUAGAAUUGGGAUUGACAAGCUUAAAGCACAAAAGUUUAUUCGGUUAUCUCUCGAAAGCAAACAAUCGGAACAACCUGAUUUGGAGUGGUGUUCUCUACAAACACAAAUGUCACUGAGAACAAUGAUUUUAUUUGGUAAUAUAAAGAUUCAACCAGGUGAUUCAUUUCAUUCUUUUUCAAGUCUCCGAACACUACACUUGGACAGUGUAAAUAUUGUUGCAACACCCAAAUCUUUGUAUCAGCUGAAACAUCUGAGGUAUCUGUCAAUAGGAAAUAGUAAUAUAUCUAAGUUAUCAGAAGACAUUGGCAAGUUGAAAUUCUUGCAGUACAUUAGCCUUUCCGAUUGUCAGAGUUUGACCAAGCUUCCCAGUAGCAUCGGGGUGCUACAAGACUUGAGAUUUCUCAGUCUUCUCAGAACAAAUAUAAGUGUUGUACCAAGGGAGUUUUGUGGUCUAACUUCUUUGAGGAAAUUAUACGGAUUUCCAGCCCACAUGGACUGUGAUCACUGUAGUUUGGAGGAACUAGGGUCUCUCUCCCAGCUAACUGAACUUGAUAUCAGUUUCUUGGAGAAUGUAGCUUCUUCCUCAUCUGCUAUAGAGGCCAAACUUGGUGGAAAGAAGCGCCUAAGGUAUCUCUCACUUCAUUGCACCAGUAGACUUGGAGAUGAUGGCCUAUUGGUAAAAAAGGAAGAAGGGAUCUCUGAGAAAGCGAAGAGACAAAUCGAGGAGGUCUUUGAUGAGCUCUGCCCUCCGCAUGGCUUAGAACACCUUUCAGUCAACGGGUAUUUUGGUGAGCGGCUCCCAGGUUGGAUGAUGCCAGCAGCAGCAUAUAUGCCGCUUAGGAGCUUGAGGACUCUAAUGAUGGAUGACUUGGCCUGCUGCACGGAGCUUCCUAGUGGCAUGAGUCAGCUACCCUGCUUGGAGCUUCUGCAGAUUGUUCGUGCCCCGGCCAUCAAGUGUGUUCGCCUUGAAUGCCUACAACCAAACAAUCAAGUAGGUGUUGCGUUUCCCAGUCUACAGAAGCUGCGUUUUGUGGGAAUGUUCGAAUGGGAGGAAUGGGUGUGGGAGGAACAAGUGAAAGGCAUGCCUAUCUUGGAGUUGCUUAAACUGAAAAUGUGCAAGUUGAGGCGUGUGCCACCAGGCCUGGCCUUCCACGCAAGGGCUUUGAAGAAUUUAUAUAUAUAUGAUGUGAAGCAUCUAAGCUCUUUGGAGAACUUUGCUUCUGUGGUCCACCUCGAUGUGUUUAGAAACACUCACCUGGAGAGGAUCAGUAAUCUACCAAAACUGCAGAAGCUUGUCAUUCUCAUGUGCCCAAAGCUGAAGGUAGUGGAUGGCAUGCCUGCACUCCAGAGACUCGAACUGGGGGAUUAUGACAUGGAAACAGUCCCUAGGUAUCUGCAGGAUGUAAACCCAAGACAUUUGCUGCUGGAUUGUUCCUUAUCGCUGCUCACGUGUAUAGCAGCAGGAAAAUCUGGUCCUGAAUGGGAUAAGUUUCGCCAUAUCCAGCAAGUCAAAGCCUAUGCAAAUGAAGAAGGCUGUCCAAGGAAGUGGUAUGUGCUCUACACAAGGAACCCUUACCGCUUCGAGACAAAUAUCAGCCGCUCUGCUAUUGCCCAAGGUAAAUUAACACAGCCGCCUUCCAAUGUAAUUUAUUUUUUGGCACUCUGUUUUCCUCGGUUUCCUUCAAUCAGUUCAAUUCAUCUUCUGCAGCUCACGGACGCCGCAUAUGGCUUGCUUACUCGGAAACAUGUCCCAUUGAAGAUGAGUGGCCCACAGGAGGACACACGUAUGUAGAAAAACGUAUGCCCCUCUGCGUACGCUUCAGGUAAAAAAGUUGGCUACACGUUGAUUGCUUCCCUCUGUUUCAGUAAUUGUGCAUGCUUACACCUCCUUGACACGUGAUUAAUUGAACAUGGCAAGUUCUUUACCAUUUCAUUUCGUCCGUGCAACGUAUUUUUGCAACAUGUGCAGGUGCAACGCCUAUCGCCACUUGAAUGGCUGGUUUGAUGAAGCGUGCCUGCACUGCCAUGAAGCCGACAACAUCGCUUCCCCAUCUGAUCAGUGGACCCAAGGAGAAGUGCUUUCAGCCCGUAUAAAGACUGUUUGGGCAUGAGUGGAGGAAACGUCUUUAGUUUAGUGUGAGUAUGUGCAUCUUGGCUAUUCCUUGAUCUGCUUCUGUACCUUGUGUAUAAGAUCCUCAGCUUGUGUAUGUUCAUUUUACUGCUUUUUAGGGGCUUGUGUUCGAUCUUAUACUGUAACAUCUAGAAUACGUUUAUUGCGUUAGAAGUGUAAAGUGGUAUAAUAAUAAUAAUUGUAAUUUUAUCCAUCACUCAAAUGAAUGAUCAGAGAUUUUAGAUGCGUAGAGCUCGUCGAAUGCUUUCAGUUGCACUACUCAUAUGUAUUGUUUGGAAUUUGGAUCAUGGAGAUAUAAAUUUCAGAAGUUUUAAGAAAGAAAAAAUAAACAGGACCUUUUACUGUAGUGUGACGCGUGGUGGCCUUUUAUAUCCGCUCCAAGGCCUUUAGGUUCCAUCCAUAGCUUUUCAUAUUCAGGAUAAAAAAAAGAGGAGAGGGGAGAAAAGAGAAAGGAGAAGGGAGAAGGGGAGGAUAGGGCCUAGGGUUUUGCCGCCGUCGUAGCCGCCGCCGCCGCUGUCGGUCAUCCGUGGUGGUCGUUCUUCCUUCCGUGGAAAAUACGGUUUGGUUCUACCUUGUAUCUUGGCUGUUCCAUUGAUCUACCAUGUCCCUUUUACUGUCCAUGAGGGCUUAGCCAUGUUUGGCGUAGAUCGGAAUAACAAGGCUUUUAUGGCGGCAAGGAUCGUGGCGAGUUGGAUCGGAGAUAAUGGAAAGGUGAAGAGGCGGAGAAGAAGGAGUAGACGCCAGGAGUUUCGGCGUCGUGCUCGCUGUGGUUCUCUAGGUGAGAAGCCAAAUAUUAAUCCCCUUCAUCUGAUCAAGUUUUGCGGAUUAAAUCGCUUAUUUGGGAUUGGGUUUAGUGGAGAAAUUCUUGAAGUCAUUUUCGUUCAUGUCCUGAAAUUCUCGUCAGACUGAGCAGUCACUGUUCAUCGUAAUGUUAGGGCAUUUUAGAGGCUUUAAUAAUUUUUGAGCCUGUGGACAAAGUUGUAGAGGACUUCAAUAUCUUUCUUUAGACGCCAAGAACUCUGUCAGAGCAGUUAUAAUUUGUGAGAUAUCGAGUUUUCAAUCUGACUGUUUUCCAGUGACGAAAAUCUGGACAGUUUUGGAUCUAAACAGUUUUUGACCCUGUUAAUGAAAUAAUUAGGUCUUUGAUUAUUAACAAAUGUUUUAGGAUUUUUGUUAAGCUUUCUAUAUUGGUAAAGUUUGUAACUUUUGAAUAAGUAUAUCACCAGUUAUGAAUUUUUGAAGUUUGAUGUUCUGUUUUGAAGGUCAGAAAUAUUCAGUUGUGUUCUAUGGUUAAUUAUACCAUCUUGCAGAUCUCUGAUGCAAAACCUUACAAUACAAAAGUUGUAUAUAACAGAGUUUUACAUGAUCUGAUAAAUUAUGGUAAUUUUUGGAUGAGUAUUCUGAAGUAUAUGAAAAAGAGAAGAGUCGGUGCUGCUGUCUUGAUCGGUAGCGCAAACGGUAGAGGCUUGAAUGUCGGGUUUGGGGCGCAUUAGUGCGUAUUUGUUCUUACUCUUGCUUGUAUGUUGGUGUAUGUACUGAGUAGUAUUUGUGAUCAGGUGGUAGCACUUCGGAACAUCGCUAGUGUUUUUGUUCUCCUUCGGUAAAGAGGCAAGUGAAUGUAGCGGUGGUUUGCUACCGUUUUGGCUUGUUAUUUUUAUCACCUACAGUUUAUUGUCUAUAAGAAUGUCAUCCCUCUCAUAUCUAAAAUUUAUGAUUUUGGUAUAUUUAGUCUUAGUUAAAUUGUGGUCUUAUUUAAGUAUUUAUGGUGAUGGUAUUAUUUUAUAUUGUUAUUUGUGGCUAGCCCACAAACCUGAAUUUGAAGUCGGAGUAUCAUUGGUGAUUUAUUAAUUUUAUUGCAACAUACCAAGUGCAUUGCAUCAUUCAUUGGCAUUGGAAGUUAUGUCUUGACCUAUGGUCAUGACUGUACCGGUAUGCAUCAUGGGAUGCAGCUCCACACCUUAUUGGGUGUGCAGGCAGGAGACAUAUGCAUUGCAUUCAUAUGCAUUCAUGAGAAGUAUGUUAUUGAAGAGAUUUUAUCCACGUUAUUAUGAAGCUCUGUAUUAUUGGCUAUGUUCCAAAUUGGAAGACUGUUACUUUUAGUAUGAUAUUAUGUCAAUUGAGAACAUCAUAUUAAAUUGAUGUUAAUUCAAAUUGUGGUUUCAAUAGCUUGUCAAAACAAGUUCGCUUGCUGAGAUGUUUCGUCUCACCCUUGCUUUACUCAAUCCAGGUACUUGAUGCUUACUUGGAAGGGAAGAGACUUAGCUGCACGUCACACACGUAUUCAUUUAGAGACCUUGUGUUUUAAUAAAUAAUAAUUUGGUUUGCUUAUUGGUUUUGAAGGCGGUUGUUAAAGUGUGGGUGUUAAACUUAAUUCUUGUUGAAGUAACUUAUUUGCGUUAGGAUGUUCAUUAAUCCUAGUUUGGUAUUUUAGUAAUUUUUUUUUAUAUUUUAUUCUUCCGCUUGCUAUAAAUACAAAGAAGAUACUGUCAAAUUGUUUAUGGUUGUGUGCAGCUGUUGUUUGUGUAGUCUAGUAGCAUCCCGGUGUAUUUGUGGUUUUCGGGGUGUUACAUAUACAGUAUGGACACAUGCCACAUUGCAGAAAUAAAUGUUCUAUCUGCUACUGAACAUGUACACAGAUUGCAAAAUUAUAUGUUCUGUAAUUUCACUAUUUUAUCAGGCUUACGAUAGUGAAUGGUAAACUGGUUGUGAUGUCAUCAAUGGACUCAUGGCACACUGCAAAUACAUAUGUGUUACAUUUCUUAUGAACUUUUAUGUUUUUUUAUUCUGGAUUGGAGCAUGCUCGCACUCCAAAUCCUCCAAUAGCCCUUUGCUCAGUGGAGACAAAUCUAUAACCAGGUGUGCCCGGAGGAUAUCCCAGCUGCCCGUAACCAAAUUCCUCCAAUUACUAGUUUCCUGGGCUCCCUGGAAAUACCAGAAUAUUGUGGUGUCCAACCACCUCCUGCUGUCAAUGAGAAAGCUGGCACCUUCGAUAUCACUCUUGCGAUCUUGGCGAGCAGGUCACUGACAUCUUGGUGGGCACCAUUAGUUUUUGUUUUUAUUUAAAUUUAAUGCUAUAUACAUGUACCGUAAGAUUCGAUAUGACGAAAAAUCUUAAAAAAAUACAAAUUUUUUUUGGGAAGCCCUAGGCACCCCAAACCAGGUGAGGUCACACGGGCCUAUGCGAGAUCCGGCGUGCCAGCAAACUGGCUCCUAACAGAGUGUUCGAUGACAGAAUAAUUCCCAUCCCCGCCAAUACCAGUCCUAUCCAUGAAAAGGCGAAGAAGGCCCACGUCGGCAUGCUCUGUCGCUAGUCCCCACUAGCGCCUUCUGCGGGUCCCGUCACCAGUCCUCGCUGAUCGGUCUCUCAUCUUCUCCACCGGGACCCCUCGCCGCCGUCUCCUCUGCCUCUCAUCUUCUGCAACAACGGGUAGGCAAAGAGGUGGCAUGUGUGGCUCGCCGGCCGUUGAGCCGAGGCAGAGCGCGCGUCUCGGCAUCAAAGACAAAGGAUGCACGGGAGUCAAUUGGAAGUCGAUGCAGGAGGAGCGUAGGAGAGAGAAGGCACUGUGCUAUAUGUUUUUUUUUUGUUAUUUAUGGUGCAUUGUUGGUGAGCGUGAUGAGUCCUAUCCUACAAUGAGACUUAUGAGCAGUUUGGGAGUGUACCCAAACUAAUUUUGGGUUGGGUUGAAGUGAACCCAUCACGCCUUUGGGUAGAAGGACAGGGUUAUCCCAUAUUUUUUAUUUGGUUGGAGAUAAACUGUGUCGGGGUUUGGAUUCAUGACACGUGGGUCCUGCAUGUCAGCCUUCUAUCAAUUCUUCUCCCAUGGGUCAUCCUUUGAUCGUCCCUGACACCGCCGCUCUCUGCUCCCACACUAUCGUGGCCCUCUACAACCAAUGCAUCUCGCUCGCGCAGCUCUCUUGGCUUGCCUGCGCAUGGGCACAAUUGCCACGUCUGGCCAUAGAAGAGACCGUGUUCCGACUAUCGGAUCCCUACGUCCAGCAAUGGUUGUUGUUUAUAUUCAAUUCGAGAGCACCCAAAUCAGGGGUUACAAUGAAAGAGAGUGAAUCGACACGAGAUCACUCGGUGCUAUCAAGCCUCGUUGGUGGCGAGGAAGAAGAAAUGUUCCCCUCUCUCACUGGAUUGCUAACCAUGCCUACAAAAAGGAUGGAUACAAAACUCCCCGAUUUCUAGGAAGCCCCUACAAUCGAUUUUCAAGCCGCCUCUACAAAUCAAUUUUCAGAAAUCAUGCGAUUUUAGGCUAAAAAAUAGGAACAAAAAGUGGCACCAUUGGUCCACCAACCCUUCCCCUCACACAUAUCUUCCUCUACCACUGCACCCUACACUCAAUGUGUCUAUAACCUAUUUUUGGCUUGCAGCAUAAGCCACAAUAUUUUUUGUACACUUUGUGGCCGACGGGAUUUGAACCCAUGACCUUCCCCUCACAUGUAUCCUCUUCUACCACUACACCUCACACUUAAUCUGUCUAUAAUCCAUUUUUGCACACUUCGUGGCCGAUGAAAUUCGAACCCAUGACAACCCUCCCCCCGCCUAGCACGUAUCCUCCUGUAUCACCUCACACUCAAUGUUUUUAUAAUCCAUUUUUGCUUCCCAAAAUAUUAUACCGAGCAUAAAUUGAUUGUCUGAGGCCCUAAACGAUUUCAUAUGAACAAGUUAUCAACUAUAAAGUUUCAUAACUUUUUUAUAUCUAUAACUUUCAUGUUGGUAAUUUUUCCAUCUGAGAUCGUUUCAAAAAUUUGAAUUUAAAAUUUACAAGAUUCAAACGUAAUUUUUCAUGAUAAGAUGAUAGCAAAUGAAAAAGCUAUCAACUAGAAAGUUUCAUAACUUUUCGAAAUCUACAACUUUCAAUUUUGCUAUUUGUCCAUCCGCGAUCGUUUAAAAAAUCAUAAUUUGAAAUUUUGAAAAUUUAAGCAUAGUUUUCUUGACAACAUGAUUUCGAUAACAAGUUAGUCAUCACCGAGUUCAUAUGAAGCCAACGGUCUGGCUUCCACGAUGGAUUUGUGGACCGAAGCAGACCGGCGUUAGACAUGUAGAUAUUAUGAGACUCGAAAUAGACGUCUUGCUAUUGAUGGAAAUAUCGCCUACCGCUGAAAGCACAACAACAUUAAAUCCCUAAAGUAUUUACUCCCAGGAGUUGAAAGAACUACUAAGGCCUUUGUAAACCACUAGGCUACAGACCUUUGUUUCUGUAAACAUGCAUGCUUACACCUCCUUGACACUAGAUCAAUCGGACAUGGCAAAAACGAGAUAAACUUUUUAUACAGUUUAUUUGUAAAUCGCGAGAUAAACUUUUUAAGUCUAGUUAGUCCAUGAUUGGACAAUAUUUACCAAAUAAAAACGAAAGUGCUACAAAACCAAAAAAAUUUAGGCACUAAACAAGGCCUGACUGUUAGAACACCCAUGGUCACUUGGUUCUGUAGUUUGACGAAGGCUGCCUGCACUGCCGUGAAGGCGACGGCAUCGAUUCCCCAUCAGAUCAGUGGGCAGAAGCAGCAGUGUAUUCUGGGUGUACACAGAUUAUUAUGCAUGCAUUUUGGGAAUUAUCGUUGUUCUGCAUCUGUACCUUGUGCUCGUAGGAGCACAAAACAGAGCUUGUUCUGUUUUCAGACAUUGUUCACUCUGCUUUCUUGAUGCUCCUCAAGUUGCUGUACCCAAGCCAAACUAGCAUACGAAUUAGCGGUCUCAUCCCAGCCAUCAAUCAAAUGCCCAUCGCCCACUUAGCAAGUCUUCCUGUUUGCUACCAACGGGGGCUUCACAUCUACCGUCGGUAUUAUUAUUUCCUCAUUCAAUCUCCUCCGUUAAACAAGUCAAAAUUCCCUUAUAUAUAGCAGCAAAGAAAUGGACGAAUAUUGGUAUCUUUUAUGACGAGAGCUGAUUGUGACAUCCAUCCAUUAUUAUUAUAUUAGCCUGCCGUGGAGCAUGCAUGGACGGACGACGCCACAGUAGACUGAACUGCAACGUCUGUUGAACACAACGUCUGUCUGUUGCAUGAUGAUGCUGAUGAUGGCUCACCCUGUUGAACCGUGGAAGCAAGUUCGGACUGAACUGCAGCAGCAAUUUACAAGCCCGUUUUGAUCGCGUGUGUUGGAAUGGAACCGCUCGUGCCCAGGCUCUGGAUGGAUGGUUUUCGGCUUCCCUGUGUCUCGCUCGCACUGCUACCAUCAUCUCGUGACUCAAACAUCAUGUAUGCCUGGCCUUGUUUAGUUCCUAAAAAAUUUUGCAAAAUUUUUCAGAUUCUCCGUCACAUCAAAUCUUUAGACGCAUACAUGAAGUAUUAAAUAUAGAUGAAAAUAAAACUAAUUGCACAGUUUGGUCGAAAUUGAUGAGAUGAAUCUUUUAAGUCUAGGUAGUACAUAAUUAGAUAAUAUUUGUCAAAUACAAACGAAAGUGUUACUAUUCCAAUUUUGUAAAAAAAUUUGGAACUAAACAAGGCCAACUUUCAUCUACGUUCCAGUGCUAGAUGGCUCCCCACACUAACUUGGCAUAAGUUGGCCAUACAUCAUUACAUUAUUUAAUUUACAGAGGAUAGACAUUGACCAAGGCUAGAGCCUCGCAUAGUCAGGGGUCACCUUCAUCCAACAAACACGCUGAGUCAGAUUUGUCGCGAUCAUUUUGGAAUAUAUAAUCCCAAAGCAUCUGAUUCCACUACUAAAGCUGAUGAUUCUUAUAAUAUAUUUUUUAUGAAAAAAUAAAAAAACGCAGGAAGUGGCCUACAUUGAAUGCACAAAAUAUUGUUUCCACACAGUACAAAGAUAGAUUGCACAAUCGUCUUUGUGCCUGCUUGGAUUCCACCACUAAUCGAACGAAGCUGCCUGGCACUUUCCUUCUCACCUUGCACUGUCACCACACGACCCACUCCAACCACCACCUUCUUCCCUGAAUCAUCACCAUUUUCCUUCCCAGCUUCAAGCAGCCAAACGGAAGACACCAACCAGCUACUGCGAUUCUUGCGGACAACUUGACUCCAUGCAUGUUGCUGCUCAACCUUUCAUCACUAACGGGCAUGCCACAAUCCAGCAGUAGCAUCUGGUUGGUCAGGUCGGCGAUGUCCAUGCUGAUUCCUGCCUAGCCAUUGACCAAUAAUACAUCCUGUUGUUGCAACGCCUCUCCGCUUCCGGCCAUUGCUCAGCUCAUCGGACUCAGGUUUGUUUCCUUAACCGUUACGUUUCUGCAGUGGCUUAUGCUUAGCAAGAUCUGCCCAUAUAGCUACUGCCCCCAGUGACCCACCGGCACGGCACAGUCCAGCAGUAGUAUAAGGUGGGUCAGGUCGAAGAUGUCCAUACUGAUACCUGUCUAACCAUUAACUAAGAUCGAGAUCCUACUCCACGACCAAGCUAGAACGAACAACAGUGGCACUGCCUCACCAAUUCUGGCCAUUGCACAGCUCGUCAACUUGAGGUUUGUUUCCUUAACCGUUACGUUUCUGCAGCUAGUUGUGCACAGAUAGUGCCCACUGUGUUGUAAUUGUUAUAUGUCUCUGCAGCUGCUUAUGAGUAUCUAGAUCUGUGUAUAUAGUUGCCACUGUCAUGUACUUGUAUCAAUAAUGAACGAGAAGUCAGUACUAGUGCCGCGAUGGCUGCAUGUACAGAUGGCAGAUGAUUGAAUCUUUGUUGUAUAAAAUUGAAAUGCAGUGUUGAAAUUAACAUCUGUUCUAAUUUCGUUACAGCAAAAACGGAAGUUCCCAAUCAUGGCCGGUGUCCUAGAUGCUUUGGCAUCCUACAUCCAAAACAUGCUUCUGCAGAUGGCGGCAGAAGAGGUGCAUAUGUUGCUUGGGGUGUCCGGUGAGAUUGACAACAUGGACAUCAAGCUUCGGGAUCUAAAGAACAUCCUUGCUGAUGCUGAUAGGAGGAACAUCACUGACAAAAGCGUCCUAGCAUGGGGGAUAGAGCUAAGGAAUGCUAUGUAUGAUGCCACUGAUAUCCUCGACCUUUGCAAGCUCAAGGCUAUGGAGCAAGGCCAAAGGCAUGAUGCCGGAUGCUUCAACCCGUUGCUCUUCUGCAUACGGAAUCCCCUACAUGCCCACGAUAUUGGAAGCCGCAUCAAGAACCUUAACAAGAGGCUAGACGACAUCAAGGCACGUGGUGCAUCAUUCAACUUCCUGAACCUUAGUACUUAUGAGGAUCGUGGAAGAAAUGUGAUAUCAUAUGGUUCUAGUACCCGUGAGACAUCGGGGGGCCUUGUUGAGUCUGGUUUGGUUGGUGAGAAGAUUGAAGAGGACACAAUAAAUCUUGUGGAGAUGCUAACAAAGAAGUAUCCUACCGACGACAACAAAUCCAACAAAAUAAUGGUUUUCUCUAUUGUGGGAGCUGGUGGGAUUGGUAAAACCACCCUUGCUCAAAAGAUCUUCAACAAUGAAGUCAUAAAGGAUGAGUUCAAAAAGAAAAUAUGGUUGAGUGUCAACCAAGGCUUUGAUGAUAUUGAAAUGUUAAGGAGGGUUAUUAUCGAAGCUGGUGGAAACCACCAUGAUUGUGGAAAUGCAAAGGUGUCACUAGAACACACUCUAAUAGAAGCUUUGAAGGGACAAAAAACCUUAUUAAUAAUAGAUGAUGUCUGGGACAGCCGUAUAUGGGAAGGCGUGCUUAGAACUCCCUUUGUCAAUGCCAUGCUAGCUGAAGGUAGCCGUGUGCUGGUCACCACAAGGCAUGACACAGUGGCACGUCAGAUGAAGGCGGAGGAGCCCUACCAUCGUAUUGACAGACUUGGGCUUGAAGAUGCAUGGAUGCUGCUCAAGAAGCAGGUUCAAGUUAAUCCAUACAUUUAUUACUUUUCAUUAAUCAUGCGUUAUGUUUUCUAGCUGCAUCACUUUAUUUGCUUCUAUCUUAGUAGUGGGAACUAGAUUCCCUGUCUUGGCAGCAACUUCUAUUUUUCUUCUUUGUUUCAACCAUGUAGUUCUAUGGUUGUGACCUUCGAAAAAUAAGAUAAAGAAACAAAAUGACAUACUUCCUUGCGUUAGCAUUGUAAUAUCUUGCAUAUGCAGUCAUGUAGACUCCACAUAUAGUGCAGGUAUUCACUUUUUUUGUUAAAGCAAUUCAAAAUUGGACAUUGUAUUACACUCCCUCCUUUUUUUAAAAGAACUUGAGAUCUGUAGGUUCGAUUGGAUCUGUAAUUGGCUGUAAUGUAGGCAAUAUGAAAUGGCGAAUUAGUAACUAAUUUAAAUUCACAAACUAAGGAAACCAUAAUAAGUAUGUUUAUCACUAUUCUUUUUAGAGUAAAAUAAAAAAAAGGUCUUUGAAGUUAUUCUGUAUGAUGUUGUCUGAUCCUCAAACUCUCAAAAUGCUUGCAUUGUGAGGUUAUAGAAAUUGUCCUUGUAUGGAAUGUAAGUCCCAAGCCCUUAUAAUGCUACUUUCAUCCACAGGACUUGUCACGUGUUGUCAUCUAGUCUUGUUCUUAAUGAGCCCUAACACACUAUACACCCUCAUGUGGCAUGUCACAAUUGAUCCAUUUGUGGUUCAGUAUUGAUGAGUAGUCUAACACGAGGUUAUGUAUAUCACACAUAUUGGGCUGUUGCACUAUAUCCGAGCGAAGAGAGAGAGAGGGGGAACUCGGGAUGGUGGUCCAAAGGCCAACAUAUAUGUGUGGUGCCCAUAGAUAGAAUCGACUAGUACAGAUAUUAUGAGACAUAUAGGUAGCAUUUGGUUAGGAGAUAAGGUGGGAUGGAAGAAUGAUCUUGUCUCUGGUUGGAGGGAUGCAGUGACCCUAUUUUCUUUUUGGUUGGAAAGCGAUGGGACCAAUUUGUUUUCUAUUUGGUCUUAGAUAUAAUAACUCAAAUCAUGUGGGUCCCAUUUGGCAGUUUUAAUUCUCUUUUUCUUCCUCCUCUCCUUACCUUGUUCACGAACUGUAGCCACCCAAAGGACUCGCAAGUGCGACACCCUCUGCCUCCUCCCGUUGAGUCGGCCAUGGCUUAUGCCACCUGCUUCAUGUGUAGCCACCCAAAGGACUCGCGCACGGUGGCUCCUAAAAGGUUGCACGACGGCAGCCUCUGAGCUCACGCGUGGAGGCUCCUCUUAUCUCGGCACAGUGGUGCCCCCCCAAGGUCAUGCAAGGCGGCAAUCUCCCGAGCUCGCGCGAUGGUGGCCCCCUGUGCUCCUCGUCUUCAUUGACCUCCCGUAUGUGCACCUCCUCUUGUCUUCUUCCUCACCAGUGAGUGGGCUUGUCCCACCUCAGGUGACCCCCUGUUCGUCAAAUUUCUGCACAAGCACGCAUGUGAGCAACUAUCGUGGUCGUGUAGCCACCAUGCUUGCGCAGCCAAAUAGAAUUGGGGUAUGAAAUAGUUUAAGGAUCUAAAUGUACAGUUUUACAUUUAGUGAUCUGAUAGAAGAUGCCGUAGUUUAGAGACUAUGGGUGUAAUUUGCUCUAUGACAAUGGUUGGAAUCGCUUCCAAUCGCCUCCCAUCGCCUCCGCUAAAAACUUUUUUCUUGAUUUAAUUUGUGGAAGGGUAAUAACAUCAUUGUACAAGGUUCUCUGAAACCCCAACCCCUAUCAUCGGCAGCGACGGCUCCCUGUAACACGCAUUGGUGGACGCAGACGGGUGGAACUCAUAGAAGAUUUAAAAAAACUUAAGAAGAAGAUUUUUAUCUAACUAGCUAUAGUACUUGAAUCAAACAUCCUAUCUAUGUUACUCAAAAUAUUACUUUUACAAUUAUGAAUUUACCCUUUUACCCUUCAUUAAAAAAGAAAUACAAAAGGAGAAAUUACCGCUCCUCUAUUUAGGGUCUUAAUUCCUAUAAUUUUGGAGGCGAUGGGAGGCAAUGUGACAUCUAUGGCCCACCGACCAUAGACACACCUAUUGCCUCCCAUCACCUUGCUUCCAUCGCUUUGCUUCUCAUCGCCUCUCCAACCAUUGUAAAAAUAUUAAUUAUAGUAUUAUUACUGGACGUACGUGUAUGUGGAGAAGGCAUUGCUUAUGAAUUGUAUACAACAGUAUUUAAAAUUGAUUUUUGAACGUGAAGCUGGUGGAAGCGUGAUAUAUAGCAAAGAAUCCACAUACCAACGCUAAACUCAUGGUGGCAAUUAAUGUACAUGCUUUGUAAACUGCAAUUGCCCACUGGGUGAAAUCUAAGGAAGAGUGGGCCAAGAAACUAAUAUUAGACCUAGUACCACUUAGAAUAUUAAUUAUUUUAUAACAAAAUUUGAAACUAAACCAACCGCAUUUGUUGGGAGUAGACUAUACAGCUUUCAACCGUUUAUUUGUAUUGGAAUGCACGAGGAUAUUACAUGCUGAGUUAUUAGUGUAGUGUACUGGCACAGUAGCGUAUAUAUGGAUGUGUGUCACUUGUAAUGGAAACAAUUAUUUCUAAUAUUUUUGCUUGGCCAUACGUACGUUUGUGCGCACCUUCUAGUGAGCAUUCUUCCUCAAUGUUGAGUUUUGUUUGCACGAGCACUGUAGCUUUAUUACACAGAAUUUCUAUCGACUAUUGCGUCAACCCAUGUUCUGGCAUGGGCUCGAAUUUUAUGAGAUAUAAGUAUUAAGUAUUGUUCUGGUCAUUUCAAAUUAUAAACCAUUUUGGCUAUUAAAGAUAUAUUAUUUUUCAUUGUACCUAACAGUAUAUCUAAGUGUAUAGAAAAAACUAUAUACUUUCGAAACAUGUUAUAAUUUGAAAUGCGCGGAGUAGAUCUGAAUAAUAAUGAAAUAGUCAUAAAUUAUAUGUUUUUCUCUUUGUCUAAUCUCUAACAUAAUAGACAUGAUAGAUACUCUAUAGUCUAUAUCUAGUUAUCAUAAACUUAUUAGUUACUAUUUUUUCAACAAACUAAUCUAUAUAUUUUUAUCCAUAUUACUUCAAAUAUGCAAUUACUUUGAAACCUUACCAUUAAUCACGGUGGCUCUUGUUUUGUUAUGUAUCAAAUUUCUUAUUGACUGCAUCAGAUUUAUUUUUUCUCUCCUUAAGUUAAGUUGAACCCCUUAUGCUUAUUGUAUCUUUCAUUAACUCUUCUUUUUGUAUUUUUGAAAUAAGAAUUUUAGGACAUAGUUUACAUUCUUAGGAACUACAAUAGCAUAAGACAUCAUUUGAAACAUACACCAUAUUGCUUAAGAUAAGCCACAGAGCUUGAAGUGAGUUCACAAACAUGAUGGCUAAGGAAAUAUUAACCUCAAGAGAAUUUUUUAUUCUAUUGCUAAGGAAAUAACUUUUUUGUGAUUAAACAUAACAUAUUUAUUC